GAUGAACGCUAGCGGCAGGCCUAACACAUGCAAGUCGAGGGGUAGUCUCGUUUCGACGAGAUGAGACCGGCGCACGGGUGCGUAACGCGUAUGCAAUCUACCUUUUACAGAGGGAUAGCCCAGAGAAAUUUGGAUUAAUACCUCAUAGUAUAUAUCAUUCGCAUGUUUGGUAUAUUAAAGUUCCAACGGUAAAAGAUGAGCAUGCGUCCCAUUAGUUAGUUGGUAAGGUAACGGCUUACCAAGACGAUGAUGGGUAGGGGUCCUGAGAGGGAGAUCCCCCACACUGGUACUGAGACACGGACCAGGCUCCUACGGGAGGCAGCAGUAGGGAAUAUUGGGCAAUGGACGCAAGUCUGACCCAGCCAUGCCGCGUGCAGGAUGAAGGCGUUAUGCGUUGUAAACUGCUUUUAUACAGGAAGAAACGACUCUUGCGAGAGGCAUUGACGGUACUGUAUGAAUAAGCACCGGCUAACUCCGUGCCAGCCGCCGCUGUAA
Molecule: ribosomal RNA, 495 nt
Filed under: uncultured bacterium
Lineage: Bacteria
Description: partial 16S ribosomal RNA
Rfam family: Bacterial small subunit ribosomal RNA
Source: RNAcentral